GCUGGCGCAUAGUGGCAUCUGUCGUUCAAGUGUCUUUGCUUUCUGGCACAAAAGUUCACAAACGAAUAGCGGAGGCGUCCCCGGGCUUCGUUGUCAGCCCAACAAUGUGAUAGAGUGGCGAACUUUUCUUUCCUUUAUUUACUAUUAGAAAUAAAGGAUACCAUGAUCCGAAGCAUGUUUUGACAAUACAAAAAAUGUGCCCAUUGUUAAUGUAUGCUUUAUGUAUAUUUUGUGCACCUACAUAUGUAUAUUUAUUCUGCGCUUUGAAGACAGAAACUCAUAUUUAUGUCUUCGCUCUAAAUGCCCCCAGACGUUAACGGCCAAUAAGGCGCAACCCUGGGUUAAAAUGCACAUAAACAAAAUUGGCGGAAUCGCAGAUGGCCAUUGUGUGUAUGUAUAUUUAUUGUUGAAUGAAAAUUAUCGCUCACAGUUUGUCAUAAUUUGUCGUCAGCGGGAAAUGCUCUUAGUGUUGGCCAAAUUGGCCAAGCGGUCGCGACCAAGGUGUGCCAACACUUAACACAAUUUGUGGUUCAAAGAUACUUAAUUUUUGGCACCUUUAUUUUAUAAAUUAAAUCAUUCUUUUAUAUUAAAUGCCUAC
Molecule: long non-coding RNA, 598 nt
Filed under: Drosophila guanche
Lineage: Eukaryota; Metazoa; Arthropoda; Insecta; Diptera; Drosophilidae
Source: RNAcentral